This 250-nucleotide long non-coding RNA is filed under the name Gossypium raimondii (Peruvian cotton). RNAcentral describes it as "long non-coding RNA (GRAI_LNC000651)". Lineage: Eukaryota; Viridiplantae; Streptophyta; Magnoliopsida; Malvales; Malvaceae. The record is from RNAcentral.
UUUUGGCUAGUUAUUUAUGUAUCUUUUACUUGGUGUUUUUGCGCUAUUGUGUUAGGCUUUUUGAUCGAAGAUUUUUAUUGGUUCUAUUGUAAGAUUAUUGGGUGAGUGAUUUGUAACAAGUUAAGGUUAUCUAUUGGGGAUGCAAUUACUUCUUUGUAUAAUGGUAGAUUGGGCUUUACGCAAUAAGUUACUGGAUCAAUUAUUGAAUAAAAUCAUUCAUUGAGUGAUACUCUACAGAGUAUGAUUGGUG